RNAcentral lists this ribosomal RNA (542 nucleotides) under Peristedion gracile (slender searobin). RNAcentral describes it as "partial 16S large subunit ribosomal RNA". It matches the Rfam family "Bacterial large subunit ribosomal RNA", at positions 1846 to 2586 of the family's 2925-position model. Lineage: Eukaryota; Metazoa; Chordata; Actinopteri; Perciformes; Peristediidae. The record is from RNAcentral.
UAAGAGGUCCCGCCUGCCCUGUGACUAUAUGUUUAACGGCCGCGGUAUUUUGACCGUGCGAAGGUAGCGCAAUCACUUGUCUUUUAAAUGAAGACCUGUAUGAAUGGCAUAACGAGGGCUUAACUGUCUCCUCUUUUAAGUCAAUGAAAUUGAUCUUCCCGUGCAGAAGCGGGAAUACACCCAUAAGACGAGAAGACCCUAUGGAGCUUUAGACACCAAAGCAGCUCAUGUUUAAAAACCCUUAAAUAAAAGACUAAACCAAAUGAAACCUGCCCUAAUGUCUUUGGUUGGGGCGACCGCGGGGAAAUAAACAACCCCCAUGUGGAAUGGGAGCACCCCUCCUAAAACUAAGAGCUACAACUCUAAGCAACAGAACAUCUGACCAGCAAGAUCCGGCAAUGCCGAUCAACGGACCGAGUUACCCUAGGGAUAACAGCGCAAUCCCCUUUUAGAGCCCAUAUCGACAAGGGGGUUUACGACCUCGAUGUUGGAUCAGGACAUCCUAAUGGUGCAGCCGCUAUUAAGGGUUCGUUUGUUCAACG